CCUACGGGGGGCAGCAGUGGGGAAUAUUGGGCAAUGGGCGCAAGCCUGACCGAGCAACGCCGCGUGAAGGAAGAAGGCUUUCGGGUUGUAAACUUCUUUUGUCAGGGAAGAGUAGAAGACGGUACCUGACGAAUAAGCCACGGCUAACUACGUGCCAGCAGCCGCGGUAAUACGUAGGUGGCAAGUGUUGUCCGGAUUUACUGGGUGUAAAGGGCGUGUAGCCGGGUUGACAAGUCAGAUGUGAAAUCCUGCGGCUUAACCGCAGAACUGCAUUUGAAACUGUUGAUCUUGAGUACUGGAGAGGAAGACGGAAUUCCUAGUGUAGCGGUGAAAUGCGUAGAUAUUAGGAGGAACACCAGUGGCGAAGGCGGUCUGCUGGACAGCAACUGACGGUGAGGCGCGAAAGCGUGGGGAGCAAACAGGAUUAGAUACCCCUGUAGUC
Molecule: ribosomal RNA, 442 nt
Filed under: uncultured bacterium
Lineage: Bacteria
Description: partial 16S ribosomal RNA
Rfam family: Bacterial small subunit ribosomal RNA
Source: RNAcentral